AUGAUUGAGUGAUUGCACCACCCCCAGUGGGUCUGCUCAGUCUCCCGUCCCAAAAUCAGACAGGAGGAAUAGAGCAAGCAUGGGGCUUCAGAAGUAUAUGUAUCAUUUAUUGAUUCAGGCAACUCAGAGCAAGCAGCUUUUACUAAAUUUAGAACCAAGGGCAGCAGCAUGCAGGAGGGUAGGAAGGAAUAUUCAGGGCCCUCAAUUAAAACUUUCGUGAAAAUAUUAAUUUUCUAGCAUUUUCUUAACCUGGGAUUUUUCCCCCCAAUUAAAUCUAAUGUGGAGAAGCAAUAGAGCAAAGAGCUUAAGAGUGAGAGUUAAGACUCAGACUGCCUGAAUUCAAAUUCUGGUGCCGCCUUUACUAGCUGUGUGCUCUGCGGUGAGUUAAUUGCCCUCACCGAGCCUCGUUUUCUUCAUCUGCAAAAAAGGCAGUUAAUAAGGUGGCCUACUUUUGGGGUCAUAAGGAGAUUAAAGUGGGUCAGUACCUGUAAAGCCUCAGCACAGAACCUGGCACACGUUUAGUGCUUGGUAGAGGUCACUACUCUUAUUCUGUGGGGCAGACAAAAGCAGGGCUCCCUGGGUUGCCUCAGGUCUGAGGGGUCUGCAGUUCUGCCCCCUCAGCCUGUACCCACACUCCCCACGCAGGUUCUCAUUGGUACCUCUGGGGACCCUGGGUAGUGAUUAGCUGGCAUGUGUUUAACAACUGCCUCUCCAGAGGCCUGGGACGGGGGGGUGCCUGAUUUUAGUAUUUGCCAGUUUCCGCAGAGUAAUCAUUCUCAACCGUGGCCAAUUUUAUUUUAUUUUAUGAUUUUAAUUUUUUUCCAUUACAGCUGUUUUACAAUGUUCUGUCAAUUUUCUACUGCACAGCAAGGUGACCCAGUCACACGUACAUGUAUACAUUCUUUUUUCUCACAUCAUCAUGCUCCAUUGCAAGUGACCAGACAUAGUUCCCAGUGCUAUACAGCAGGAUCCCAUUGCUUAUCCAUUCCAAAGGCAAUAGUUUGCAUCUAUGAACCCCAAAUUCCCAAUCCAUCCCACUCCCUCCCCCUCCUCCUUGGUAACUUUAAGUCUGUUCUCCAUGUAAUCAUGGCCAAUUUGUUUUAUUAUUAUUACUCAAUGAAUUUAUUACAUUUCUAGUUGUACAAUGAUCAUUGGAUUGUGGUAAUCAUGGCCACUUUUAAAAUACCACCUGAGUCACUGGACAUGGACUUGGGAAGAGAUGUAGGCACAUGGCUUCUUCAGCACACCAUGGCCCAGGACUGAGGAGCCUAGUGUGCCCAGAGAACCUUGGUCCCUCCGAGCUCUGGCUUUGUAUGUAUGUUCUGCCUCGGGGUAAUGCAAGAUUCCCCAAAUGUUGGACAAACAUCAGGGAAUGGGCAGGGUGUGGAGCAAGAAGAAAAGAGUUUGGAGAGUUCAGGGUCUUGGUUUUAUGUCUAAUCCAAAAGGCAGUGUGUCUGACAGCUCUGUGGCUCUUAAUUAGGUGAGAUUGCAUCAGCAGAACCGCUUCCUGUGGCUCAAAGGCUUUCCCUUCGAGUGCAACUACUCAAUUACUGCUCAGGCCCAUUGGGCAACGAGCCUCAGCCAAGGGAGGAGAGCAGGGCAUAAUGGUGUGCCCUGCAGACCGUCAAGGACAGGGCGUGCGUGUGCACAUGCACACAUGAGGGUAACACAGGCCAGGGUGGGCUGAGAGUCCUGGACUUACAAACUCAGGGUUUAUCCUACUGGAGGAAACCUGGGAGCCAGAGACAUCACAUCAAAAAGCGCUGGACUGGAAAACCAGGCACCUGGCUUUGAGGCCCUGCAUGUGUGACUUUGUUUCCCCUUCUGAGAAUAUAAGACUAAGAUGCCCACCUCGGCCUUCAUCACAGGCAUGUUGUAGGAUCCAGUGAAAUGAUACCCAUGGGAGCUCCAUAUGAUAGAAAGGAUUAAGCUUAUUCAUCAGAGACGUGGCAAAAUAUUCCUGGGCUGGGCAAAAGCCUCCAAAACCAGUCCGCUGCUAGGGCAGGUAUCAGACACCCACGCACAUCCCCACCAAGAAAAAUGGGAGCACUUGGAAGGGUAUUCAUGGCCUGAGACUGGAACCAGAAUGUUGCAGGCGACAAGCAAGGGACUCUUCAUCACUUGUCGCAGGAGGUGUGAGAGCACCUCGCCUCUGCCCCACGAAGCAAGGAUAAUCAAAGCCUCUGAGUUUCAGUUCUUAAACUCUGAAGAAAGGCGUCUGACUGGCUCAGAUGGGCCUUUCGAGCAAGGUCACCCAAAUCAUGGGUGGUCGGCUAGCCUGUGGAGGGGCUGCCCUUCAGACAUGGCUGGGAAGGGGCCACGCAGCACGGAGAGAACCCGAACGCUUAAGACAGGACAGACUGCUGCACAGCCAGCACAGGAAGCAGCCUCUCACAACCCCCUGACUUCUUUGGACACGCUUCCAGUCUUUUUGUGGCCCCUACACACUCAGUGAUAAAAUUCUGAAAGACCUUGUGGCUGGCACCUGAGACCACUUGAAGGCUGCACAAAAGGUGCAGGUGUUGGUGCGGGGGACGGUGCGGGUGGUUGAGCCGUAAGUGGAAGAAGUGCCUCCGUCUCAGAGUUAAGGCUCUUCUGUAAAUAGGGGCCGAGUGGCUGUCCUUUGUAGAACGUUUGAGCCCUGAUUCAUUUCUCUCCCUGCCUUUGAGUCUCACUAGCCUAGUCAGGCAAAGGGCAGUGAAUUGUCUUCCUUGUGGGGUGUUCAUGAAGAAUUCAGCAGCGUCCGUACGCAUGAGGUUGAGUCACGUGAAAUUGUGAUGUUCUUGGGUCCAAAAUGGUCUGUUGUCGGCAAUUUCAACGUAAGAGAAAGUUUGCAGUAAAAUACUUUUCCUUGAUUCCUUCACUUGACCGUGACCUCCUCCACCAGAAAAUAUUGAAACCUCAGCUCCCUGCCUCGGGGUCAUUUACAGCUCAACACAAGUGUGUAAUGGACAAAACACCUCUCCCCCGUUGUGCAGACAGGCGGCUUUAGUGCAGACAGCACCUUGUAAACGCCCUGCCCUCUGCUCUCUAGAGAGGGGGACUCGCCGUGCACGGCGCCAGACAAUGAAAGCUCUGUGCUCCCAGGGUGGAAACUUCCAGGAUGAGUCUUCUCUUCAAUCACAUUGGGUUAUUUUGUUUUGGUUUUUUCUCUUUCCUAGAAAUUGGAGUAAUUGCAAAUGU
This 3183-nucleotide long non-coding RNA is filed under the name Sus scrofa (pig). RNAcentral describes it as "lncRNA (ENSSSCG00000054764.1)". Lineage: Eukaryota; Metazoa; Chordata; Mammalia; Artiodactyla; Suidae. The record is from RNAcentral.